UAGUCCACGCCGUAAACGAUGAGUGUUAGAUGUCCGAGGCAAACUUGGGUGUCCCAAGCUAACGCGAUAAACACUCCGCCUGGGGAGUACGUACGCAAGUAUGAAACUCAAAGGAAUUGACGGGGACCCGCACAAGCAGCGGAGCAUGUGGUUUAAUUCGACGCAACGCGAAGAACCUUACCAAGUCUUGACAUAACUUUGAAGUCCUUUAGAGAUAGAGGAUGCUUGACUUCGGUCAACAAAGCUAC
This 248-nucleotide ribosomal RNA is filed under the name uncultured bacterium. Its description in RNAcentral is "partial 16S ribosomal RNA". It matches the Rfam family "Bacterial small subunit ribosomal RNA", at positions 791 to 1035 of the family's 1533-position model. The record is from RNAcentral.